GACGGAGGGUGCUAGCGUUGUUCGGAAUCACUGGGCGUAAAGGGCGCGUAGGCGGCCUCUGGUGUCGGCUGUGAAAGCCCGGGGCUCAACCCCGGAGGUGCAUCCGAAACUCUGGGGCUGGAGGUCGGAAGAGGAGGGUGGAAUACCCAGUGUAGAGGUGAAAUUCGUAGAUAUUGGGUGGAACACCGAUGGCGAAGGCAAUCCCCUGGACCUGUACUGACGCUCAGGCACGAAAGCGUGGGGAGCAAACAGG
This 253-nucleotide ribosomal RNA is filed under the name uncultured bacterium. RNAcentral's name for it is "partial 16S ribosomal RNA". It matches the Rfam family "Bacterial small subunit ribosomal RNA", at positions 524 to 776 of the family's 1533-position model. The record is from RNAcentral.